UCCUGGUGCUAGUAGCGCAGUGGUCCCACUUCGACUCCAUCCCGAACUCGAUUGUGAAACGCUGUAGYGGCGAAGAUACUUGGGGGGUAGCCCCUCGGGAAAAUAGCUCGACGCCAGG
Molecule: ribosomal RNA, 118 nt
Filed under: Pleurocapsa sp. HA4302
Lineage: Bacteria; Bacillati; Cyanobacteriota; Cyanophyceae; Pleurocapsales; Pleurocapsaceae
Source: RNAcentral